RNAcentral lists this transfer RNA (85 nucleotides) under Kapaibacterium sp. (SeqCode). RNAcentral describes it as "tRNA-Leu". It matches the Rfam family "tRNA". Rfam says of the family: Transfer RNA (tRNA) molecules are approximately 80 nucleotides in length. Their secondary structure includes four short double-helical elements and three loops (D, anti-codon, and T loops). Further hydrogen bonds mediate the characteristic L-shaped molecular structure. tRNAs have two regions of fundamental functional importance: the anti-codon, which is responsible for specific mRNA codon recognition, and the 3' end, to which the tRNAs corresponding amino acid is attached (by aminoacyl-tRNA synthetases). tRNAs cope with the degeneracy of the genetic code in two manners: having more than one tRNA (with a specific anti-codon) for a particular amino acid; and 'wobble' base-pairing, i.e. permitting non-standard base-pairing at the 3rd anti-codon position. Lineage: Bacteria; Pseudomonadati; Bacteroidota; Eximiradiia; Eximiradiales; Kapaibacteriaceae (SeqCode). The record is from RNAcentral.
GCUCAGAUGGCGGAAUCGGUAGACGCACAGGACUUAAAAUCCUGUGGGCGUUAUGCCCGUGAGGGUUCAAGUCCCUCUCUGAGUA